GACUAUUAGUAAAGAAUGGAGGGAUUCGGAAAAGCAAAAGCGAUAUAACAAAGAAUAACAAUAAACUAGUGAUGAACAAAUGAAAGGAAUGUGUUUAUACUUGUACACUGCACACUCAUCAUUUCUUCAUUAAAUUGUUCGGACAACUUUAAGAAAUUUGAUACCUUAGAGUUAUAGUUAGAUUACAGAGAUAUCCAUUGUCGCUCAACCACCAUUAUAUUCAAAUUAUUAGAUUCCACAGGAGUUAAUCUACCUUAUAAUGUUAAUUAUUAUUUUGAAGUUUUGGUUUCUGACAAUGAUGGCAUUAGCUAAAAGAAAGAAGCAUAUUUGAAGUGUGAUGUGUUUACAAUUGCAUAGGAUAUUAAUUCAAGAAAUACAGAUCACAUGCUGCCAAUAUUUCUCUCAAGUCCUAACCAUUUUGUGUUGUUUGUUGGGGAAGCAUUUUCUUGUGGAUUUCAUAAAUGUUUGUAUUUCAGACCUACUGUGAAGUCCCACCCAACUGAAUUUACUAUGGCCCAUUAAAGAUGGGUAGGUGAAGCAUGUGGAUGCCUCCAAAAAAAUUGUCAUUGACCAGUAUUGUCAUGAGGGGUUGUGGGUCACACAUUAUCAAAACUGUAUCAUGUCAAUGCUCAGUCACAUAUACAACCAAUGAUGCUUACCUCAAGCAGGUUGGCCAUUCCUAGUACAUCUGCCCUUUGUCUACGGUUCCUCUUUCCCCCUCCUUGCUAAAAUAUUACAUGUAUACUAGUAGAUAUGCGUUAAGCUUUAUGGCAUUGUUUGUUGCAUCCAAGAUCAAGACUUAUUUAGUCAACAAAAGAAAAAUCUAUAGAGUUUAACAAUUAACAAUCUAAACAUGUUAAGAAUCUUUCCUAUUAUUUAAGAGGAAAAACGCGUCAUUUCUCAAGUAUUGAAAUUUAUCAUCAUUUUUUAUUCUUUUAUAGACUUGAGUGUCGAAGUCUUAAUCUUGCAGGUCAGCCUUCUCUCCACUGCAUCGAAACUUCAAGUCCAUCGUAGUAAUCACUACAUCACCCAUCAAAGAAUUUUGGUUUUCCUACAAAACAAUGGCGAUGUCCGUGGGAACUGAAAUCUAAUUCUCACAGAUUUUUACAUUCAAAUCUCCUAUAUAGAUACAAAUCUCAUCUCUAGAAGUUCAAAUCUCUGUUUAAUGACCUUCUUCCUCGAAUCUAAACCUCAUUUCCAACAAAUCCUUCUUCAAAUUCAUCAACCAUGGUGGCAUCCAAAGUCAUUUGCUCCUCCAUUCAACAAAAAGUCGACGCCUCGUUGUUGAAACUAUUGAAGAUACGCUUUCUCCUCAUCAAACUGAAGACAAUUCAAUCUUGGUAGCAUCUCUAUCCAAUCUUCGCAACAUGAUCAUGUUCAAUCGAGAGCCGGUCAAGGAGUAUUCCAAUUUCGGAUCCACAUAACAAUUUCAUCAAGACAAACCUUCACAUAUAUAUCCGUCACUACAUGUGAUUCCCCGACAAGAAACGCUCAUGUCCUUUAGUAUAUACAUGCUAACUUCGGAGCAAGGAGCUAUUGAUCUGUUGAACAAUGUUUACAGUCUGGUGCAAGAGAAAAAUUCAAUUUUUUUGGAUGAAAAACUGCUUAAAAGGAUUAAGAGACUGGUUGAGAGAAGGGAAAUGUAUGAAUAAAUGAUGUUGAAGCAUGUUUAAAAGGAUUAAGAGACUGGUUGAGAGAAUCUUCAGAACCUUGAUCUUCAGAGUCUUGACAUAGUUCCUCAAAACCUGGUUUUCAGAGUCUUUAGAUCUUGUUCUUCAGAGUUUUACAAACUUGAGAGUGCAGAAUAUUGAAGGCUUGACACACCUUCAGAGGCUUUUCUAUUAGAGUCAUGAUCGCGACUUUAUGAGUCUAUCGGGGUACUAACUGCAAGUGCACAGUCUAAUCGCGUAGUUUUAAAAGAUAUCGAUCCCACAGGGACUUAAUGAAUCGAUUCUACCGUUUUUCUAGGGUUACUGCGUAAAGUUAAGGCGGAUGAUACUUUAAUGAUUAGGGGAAAAGUAAAACUAAAUUUGGAUCUAGAUAAAAUAUCAAAUUAUAUGGAUAUCAGUAUGUAGUUCGUCGUAAUAAGGGAAUCAAAUCUUCGUUGGUCUUUUUCUUAAUUUUAAAAUAAGUCUUUUC
RNAcentral lists this long non-coding RNA (2139 nucleotides) under Lathyrus oleraceus (garden pea). RNAcentral describes it as "Pisum sativum (pea) long non-coding RNA (PSAT_LNC007992)". Lineage: Eukaryota; Viridiplantae; Streptophyta; Magnoliopsida; Fabales; Fabaceae. The record is from RNAcentral.